AGGUUACUGCUAUCGGUGUUCGCCUAAGCCAUGCGAGUCAUAUGUUCUUCGUGAACAUGGCGUACUGCUCAGUAACACGUGGAUAACCUGCCCUUAGGUCCGGCAUAACCCCGGGAAACUGGGGAUAAUUCCGGAUAACGCACAUAUGCUGGAAUGCUUUAUGCGUCAAAUGGAUUCGUCCGCCCAAGGAUGGGUCUGCGGCCUAUCAGGUAGUAGUGGGUGUAAUGUACCUACUAGCCUACGACGGGUACGGGUUGUGAGAGCAAGAGCCCGGAGAUGGAUUCUGAGACAUGAAUCCAGGCCCUACGGGGCGCAGCAGGCGCGAAAACUUUACAAUGCGGGAAACCGUGAUAAGGGGACACCGAGUGCCAGCAUCAUAUGCUGGCUGUCCGGGUGUGUAAAAUACACCUGUUAGCAAGGGCCGGGCAAGACCGGUGCCAGCCGCCGCGGUAACACCGGCGGCCCGAGUGGUGAUCGUGAUUAUUGGGUCUAAAGGGUCCGUAGCCGGUUUGGUCAGUCCUCCGGGAAAUCUGACGGCUUAACCGUUAGGCUUUCGGGGGAUACUGCCAGACUUGGAACCGGGAGAGGUAAGAGGUACUACAGGGGUAGGAGUGAAAUCUUGUAAUCCCUGUGGGACCACCUGUGGCGAAGGCGUCUUACCAGAACGGGUUCGACGGUGAGGGACGAAAGCUGGGGCACGAACCGGAUUAGAUACCCGGGUAGUCCCAGCCGUAAACGAUGCUCGCUAGGUGUCAGGCAUGGCGCGACCGUGUCUGGUGCCGCAGGGAAGCCGUGAAGCGAGCCACCUGGGAAGUACGGCCGCAAGGCUGAAACUUAA
RNAcentral lists this ribosomal RNA (838 nucleotides) under uncultured archaeon. Its description in RNAcentral is "bacterial SSU rRNA". It matches the Rfam family "Archaeal small subunit ribosomal RNA", at positions 21 to 859 of the family's 1478-position model. The record is from RNAcentral.